UGUGGGAGUCAAAGUUGUGUUAACUG
Molecule: non-coding RNA, 26 nt
Filed under: Cricetulus griseus (Chinese hamster)
Lineage: Eukaryota; Metazoa; Chordata; Mammalia; Rodentia; Cricetidae
Source: RNAcentral